UGGGGAAUUUUGGACAAUGGGCGAAAGCCUGAUCCAGCAAUGCCGCGUGUGUGAAGAAGGCCUUCGGGUUGUAAAGCACUUUUGUCCGGAAAGAAAUCCUUGGCUCUAAUACAGUCGGGGGAUGACGGUACCGGAAGAAUAAGCACCGGCUAACUACGUGCCAGCAGCCGCGGUAAUACGUAGGGUGCAAGCGUUAAUCGGAAUUACUGGGCGUAAAGCGUGCGCAGGCGGUUUGCUAAGACCGAUGUGAAAUCCCGGGCUCAACCUGGGAACUGCAUUGGUGACUGGCAGGCUAGAGUAUGGCAGAGGGGGGUAGAAUUCCACGUGUAGCAGUGAAAUGCGUAGAGAUGUGGAGGAAUACCGAUGGCGAAGGCAGCCCCCUGGGCAAGUACUGACGCUCAUGCACGAAAGCGUGGGGGAGCAAACAGGAUUAGAUGCCCUGGUAGUCCACGCCCUAAACGAUGUCAACUAGUUGUUGGGGAUUCAUUUCCUUAGUAACGUAGCUAACGCGUGAAGUUGACCGCCUGGGGAGUACGGUCGCAAGAUUAAAACUUAAAU
RNAcentral lists this ribosomal RNA (558 nucleotides) under uncultured bacterium. RNAcentral describes it as "partial 16S ribosomal RNA". It matches the Rfam family "Bacterial small subunit ribosomal RNA", at positions 355 to 906 of the family's 1533-position model. The record is from RNAcentral.